UAGCUGACUCAGGCAGACCGUGUCCCGGAUAAACCCGUCCUAACAAAAUGCGUCACACACAGAAAUGAGAUGGUUUAGAAUCUUUUAUUGUACAAAAGUGAGGUAGAUGUACACCAUAACAUCAUGAUGUGUGUUUGUAGUAGCUUAUGUCAUGUUGACCUGCUGGAAAAUCCCUGACCACUGGCUGGCUGACCAGCUGCAAUGGUUUGCUUUCUGAGAUGGUCUAUUAGUUUGGACCAGUGAGAAACCAGCUACAAUGUUCCAAAACACAGCUUAAUUGGGAUUUUCCAGCAAGAAGACCACAAAAAAUCCCAGUCAGUGUAAUGACUGGACAAUCAGACGAAUACAGUCUGAACCACACACACACACACACACACACACACACACACACACACACACACACAGAACAACCAGAAACCAUUCGUGGUCAAUAAAUAAAUAUAAAAUAAAAAAGUUAUGAACAUGAAUAUCCGUGGAAGUCCUGUCAGUCACACUUCUCGUAGAGGUAAUAGUACCGCGUCACGUCCUGAAUCACGGUAGCUUGAACAAGCACUAUUAGUCACACAUUUCCAAAACAACCUGCUCUCCGAUGAGUAAUCGGCUGUCACAUUGUUCCCCUGUGAGUGAUAACCCACUGACUGCUCCACAACAGUCAAGUGUCCCGAAUACUCCAGCAGGAGAUCCCUCAAUAGUGCGCAAAGUUGACUCUGCUGUCCUUGUGUUGUGCCACUGCUGUUAUGGUCUCUUCAGAACGUGACAAUAGUUCUCGGCAUAGGCACGAGUGACCGUGAGUCCAGCGCUCUGCAGUGACUCUGGGUCGCCUGAAGAAUCCCUCUGACCUCCGCGAACUCCAGCUUGGCUUUUUUGCACGGUAGAAAGUCAGGGUCUGUGGCUGCUUUGCUCCGCCGCUUUCUUGAGUGACGAUCCGUUCCGGCCGGGCUGCAGUUCUCUUUGUCCACUGCGAGUCCUGCGGGGUCGUGUAUCUGUGAAUGACCCUCGAGUCCGGACCUCUGCCCGUCCUCGGUAGCCUGCGUCUCUGUGGAGCUCGUUGUGUCCAUGGGCUCUUCUGCUUGUGCUGGGCUCUCUGUGACUCCGCGUGUGUCAGAUUGCAGCUUUUCCUCGCUGGUCAGUCGGGCAGAGUGGUAGAUGUCCCUUGCAGAUCUCAUGACGAGCGUCAGCAGCAGGCUCCGGUGGAGACGGAGUCCACCGCGCUGCGUGCGCGAGCUGUAUAUUUUACUCAACGCCUGGACCAUAACCUGCUUGGCCUCUGCCGUGACAUCCAUUGUUCUUAGUUAUUCACUUAACUUUUUAAAACAACAGCAACGGUUCAGACAGUUCCCUCCGAGCUCGGGUCACUUUCACCGUC
Long non-coding RNA from Cyprinus carpio carpio, 1366 nucleotides. NCBI's taxonomy places the organism in Eukaryota, Metazoa, Chordata, Actinopteri, Cypriniformes, Cyprinidae. The record is from Ensembl.